Molecule: long non-coding RNA, 2217 nt
Filed under: Nicotiana benthamiana
Lineage: Eukaryota; Viridiplantae; Streptophyta; Magnoliopsida; Solanales; Solanaceae
Description: long non-coding RNA (NBEN_LNC027683)
Source: RNAcentral
AGUCAAUCUCAAUGUGUUUAGUUCUCUCAUGGAACACUGGAUUUGACGCAAUAUGAAGAGCAGCUUGAUUAUCACACACAAGUUCCAUCUGACUAACAUGACCAAAUUUAACUCUUUGAGCAACUGUUUGAUCCAAAUUAGCUCACAUGUCGCCAUAGCCAUUGCUCGAUAUUCUACUUCCGUACUAGACCGAGCAACCACAUUCUGUUUCUUGCUUUUCCAAUAUACCAAAUUUCCUCCUACUAAGACACAAUAUCCAGUAGUAGAACAUCUGUCAGAAGGUGAUCCUGCCCAAUCAGCAUCGGAGUACCCAACGAUCUGCUUAUGGCCUCGAUCCUCAAACAAUAAACCUUUACCUGAAGUUGACUUUAUAUACCAAAGAAUGCGAACAAUUGCACCCCACUGACUAUCACACGGAGAACCCAUAAACUGGCUCACAACACUCACAGGAAAGGAAAUGUCAGGUCUUGUCACUGUAAGAUAAUUUAAUUUACCAACUAACUGACUAUCACACGGAGAAUCCAUAAACUGGCUCACAACACUCACAUGAAAGAAAAUGACAGGUCUUGUCUCUGUAAGGUAAUUUAAUUUUCCAACCAACCGCCUAUAUCUUGCAGGAUCGUUAAGAAGCUCCCCAUGUCUUGGCAGAAGUUUAGAAUUCGGAUCCAUCGGAGUGUCAACAUGUCUACAACCGGUCAUUCCUGUCUCCUCAAGAAAAUCUAAGGUAUACUUCCGUUGUGAGAUUACAAUACCUGAGCUAGACUGAGCGACCUCAAUACCCAGAAAAUACUUAGUUUCCCCAGAUCCUUAGUCUGAAAGUGUUGAAAGAGAUGUUGCUUCAAUUUAGUAAUACCAUCUUGGUCAUUGCCGGAAAUAACAAUGUCGCCAACAUAGACCACCAGAUAAAUACAGAGACUCGAAUUAGAAUGGUUAUAGAAUACAGAGUGAUCAGCUUCACUCUGAGUCAUGUCAAAUUCCGGAUAACAGUGCUAAACUUACAUACCAUGCUCGAGCAGACUGCUUUAGACCAUAAAGUGACCGGCGCAAGCGACAUACAAGGCCAUGAGACUCCCCCUGAGCAACAAACCCAGGUGGUUGCUCCAUAUAAACUUCAUCCUCAAGGUCACCGUGUAAAAAUNNNNNNNNNNNNNNNNNNNNNNNNNNNNNNNNNNNNNNNNNNNNNNNNNNNNNNNNNNNNNNNNNNNNNNNNNNNNNNNNNNNNNNNNNNNNNNNNNNNNNNNNNNUCAAGCCCAAAUAUCUGAGUAUAUCCCUUGGCAACAAGACGAGCCUUAAGACGAUCAACCUUACCAUCUGGACCAACCUUGACUGCAUACACCUAACGAAAACAAAUAGUAGAUUUACCUGAAGGAAGACGGACGAACUCCCAAGUAUCACUCGUAUGUAAAGCAGACAUCUCGUCAUUCAUAGCCUGUCGCCACCCUGGAUGAGACAAUACUUCACCUGUAGACUUAGGGAUGAAAACAGAGCACAAAUAAGAUAGAAAAGUAUAAUAUGGUGAUGAAAAACGAUGAUAACUUAAACCGAUAUAAUGGGAAUUAGGAUUAAGGGUGGUCAGUAUACCUUUUUGAAGUGCAAUUGGAAGAGACGAAUCCGUAGUAGGAGUAGGGUCAGGUGCAUGGCGUGAAUCAGUCGGGCCGGAUACUGGGCGGGGACGACGAUGAUUUAGGAGUGGAGUUUCUGUGCUAGGGAGUCCAGAAGGAGCCAUACUAGACUCUCCAACGGUUGGAAUGGGUAAGACUUCUGUAGCAGAAGGUGAAGUAGGAGCUAUAAUAGACUCGGGUAAGACUUCUGUGGAGGAAGGUGAAGGAGGAGCUAUAGUAGACUUCCUAAAGGUCGGUAUAGGUAAAACCUCAGAUAUAUCAAGAUGGUCAGAAUAGUCAGAAGAGGUAAAGAAAGAUUUAGACUCAAAAAAUGUGACAUCAGCUGACAUAAGGUACCUACGAAGAUCGGGUGAAUAACAACGAUAUCCCUUCUGAACACGUGAAUAACCAAGGAAGACACACUUGAGAGCACGAGGAGCUAACUUAUCUUUCCCAGGAGAAUAACCAAUAAAGUCACACUUGAGAGCACGAGGAGUUAACUUAUCUUUCCCAGGAGCUAAGUUAUGAACGAAAUAAGUGCUCCCAAAAAUACGAGGGGGAACAGAGUAUAAGGGUGACUGGGGAAACAAUACCUCAUACGAAAUCUGAUUCUGGA